UACGUAGGUGGCAAGCGUUGUCCGGAUUUACUGGGCGUAAAGAGCGCGCAGGCGGUCGUUCAAGUCGCGUGUGAAAGCCCCCGGCUCAACUGGGGAGGGUCACGCGAUACUGAUCGACUCGAAGGCAGGAGAGGGAAGUGGAAUUCCCGGUGUAGUGGUGAAAUGCGUAGAUAUCGGGGAGGAACACCAGUGGCGGAGGCGACUUCCUGGCCUGUUCUUGACGCUGAGGCGCGAAAGCUAGGGGAGCAAACGGGG
This 255-nucleotide ribosomal RNA is filed under the name uncultured bacterium. Its description in RNAcentral is "partial 16S ribosomal RNA". It matches the Rfam family "Bacterial small subunit ribosomal RNA", at positions 524 to 777 of the family's 1533-position model. The record is from RNAcentral.